RNAcentral lists this long non-coding RNA (455 nucleotides) under Gallus gallus (chicken). Lineage: Eukaryota; Metazoa; Chordata; Aves; Galliformes; Phasianidae. The record is from RNAcentral.
AACCAACCCAUGUAAUCAGUUUCAGAACUUAAUAACAUUGUUCAAGUGAACAGGGAUACAAACUGCAAGAUUAAAGAGAGUCAAAUGCACAUAACAGCUCACUUCAACUUCGCAAUCAGACAGGUGUUGAGAUGUACACUCUAUCCCUCAAGACCAAUGUGAUCAAUCUCUGGACAGCCAAAAGCAUAUUGGUUAGUACUCCAUCUAAUGGCAGCAUCAGAGUAAACAACACAGAAACUACUAAACCAACCUGUUAUUCAUGAUUAUACAUGGCAAGGAAAUAACUACACAUGAACUCCGUGAAAAGGCAAUUGCAAGAGCCAGAAAAUGGCCUUUGUGAUAAUGCCACUGAGAUUUAGAACGUUAAAGCAAUCUCAUUAUCAGUUUACAUCCCCAGUUGGAAAUCAGAGAUUGUUCAGCGCAUCAAACAGUUGAGUUGGGGCAUGUAAUGUGCA